This 4547-nucleotide non-coding RNA is filed under the name synthetic construct. The record is from RNAcentral.
GCCAAAGAUGUGUAUAACACCCGAGAGGUGACCAGAUUUAGUUGUCCUAUAAAUCUGAAGCUAUAUGGGCCAACCCACGCAGUCUGUGAGGGACCCGGGUGGACACCAUCCACCAGUCCCUUUUGCCUGGAAAUUCCCUGUGGCCAACCUACAAUUCCGCAUGCCACAAUUCAAUCUAAGCCAGGGGCUCCCCCAGGCUCUAGAGAACUUGUUGUCAAUUGCGAUCCAGGUUACAUGCCCCUAGAUGGGACCACCUUGACAUGCGAAGGCAGAGGUGUUUGGAAACUGCCCCUUCCUGAAUGUGUUGCCUCAAAACCAGGAAAUGAUGGGCACUCCUAUGUGACACCAGGUAUAUCUGAGGCACCCGAGGUUCCCACAUCGUCAGACAUGAGCACCACCACCUGGAGCACCCGAAAGUUAACCAGUAACACUCCACCCGACCCUGAAGUGCAAACCCUGGGUAGCUAUGAAUAUGAACCCGAUGAACCCGUCUAUCCCACCAGCCCCCAAACUGCCUCUACGGCGUCCCCAGUCACUCAGACGGUACCACCGCCCAAAAAGUCAUCCUUAAUGAUGGUCUUUAAAUUGCUGGGCCUUCUCCUAAUAAUUCCUCUUUUAAUUGUCAGUGUAGCAGUUUUGGGCUUCCUGAUAACCAGAUGUUGCAGACUCUGAAGUGCUGACUCGGCGUGGGUGGUUACUUUCUGUUUCCCAUGACUCACAUGUUUGGCAGCAAGCUUGUCAGACAGUUGGAAAAGCAUACUUUUUUGUUGCCUGGGUUUCAUCCUAGAUUAUAAAAUCCCAAUUCUCCUCAUGCUAGUCGCGUCCUCUCUGCUUUUGGACACUCAUCAUGGAGACAACCAAUGUCUGCUCCCAGGCUCCUCUUGGACCCGCUGGUUACAUCUAUUACCAGCUUGUGGAUGACUUUCCUCUAGAGGAGGCAUCCCUUCUAUCCACCAACUUCACUUCAGCCAAAGCCUGUCUUUUACCUCUGGUAACAGGCUUGACCGUGGAACCUGGAUUUAAUUUCAAUGUCAAGGCACCGUGUCAGAAAAUCAUGUUUGAGUCUCUGACCGUUAAGCCUACAAAAUACUUCAACCAUGCCAUCGUCUUUCACAACAGUAACAAGAUUCCCCCAAUUUUUCAUGGACGUGGCCUGGAACAGCUCUGUGAGGCCACUAGGCUCAUGUUUGGCUUUUCCAGCUUUAAGCCUGAUGCUUCUAAAGGACAAUGGAAAAGCAGCACCCACCUACCACAAAAUCCAGAAAAAUAUAUUGGCUGGGUAGUGGUGGCGGAGAGUUUUAAAGAGCGCCUGAUCUGUGGGGAGUUGGCCAUGUUGUCAGCACCCAUGAAAACUGUGACCAUAAACAACAAACUCUGCUUCAAAGUACCCCUACAUGAUACCAGAUUUCUAAGCUCUGACCAGCUACUGCCCUUCUAUGAUGAAAAUGUCAGCAGGAUCAUGUAUGAGAGCUACUACACCAACGUGGCCCAAGCUGUGCGCAUUCGAGAUGUCACUGGACUGAUAGAAGCCCUGCAGGAAAGAGCUGUUACAGAACAGUACAAAACAGCAAAAUUGGCAAGUCUGAAAACAUAUCCUGCAGAAAACUGCGGUGCCGGCAACCUAGAAUAUGCUGUCAUUGACGCUGCAGUGUCUGAACUGGCCGUCAGCCACGGUCUUGCUUUCCUGGAAGCACCUCAGGAGGAGUCUCCCAUCCAGAACUAUGUCCAGUGGCCCAUGUUUUCAGAAGAUGCUACCCCAGAAGGAAGAAUUAAAGCCCUCCAGGAAUGGAAUGCCAAGAUGGCCAUCCACGUCCACGCUCAAGUCCUCAGUGCCAACUCUGUCCUGUACGUGACCAAAGUUGGGCAGUCUGCAGGAAAGGCUGUUGGGGGGAAACAAGAUGACAUGUUCCUGGGCCGCUACUAUAUGCAGCAUGGACUGGGCCACCUCAAUGUGCAAACUAGGGAUGAGAACAACACCGUGGUGUUCCCAGGCGUGCCAGAUUCCUGCAUGAAUGGGUCCCAGUACACUGUACAUCAUCUUGCCUAUGCUGCCUCCAUGUCUCCCCAUAUUCUUGCCCGGCUCUGCUACUAUCUUCAGAUGUGUCAAAACCAGCGGCUAGCCUCCACGCCUCAGGGCACUACCGUGCCUGCCUACGUGACCACCACAGCCAACACUUCCAUGUGUGAUCUUUGUGGAGGGGACCUCCCAGCCGUGUGCCUCCACACCCUCUUUUUUCGUCUGAGGGACAGAUUUCCUCAGGUGCUGGCCACGCAGAAGCGUGACCCUUAUGUGGUAACCGGGAUAGCUGGGCCCCACAAUGACAUGGAGAUUCUUGGAAACUUUGGAAGUUUCAAAGAAAAAGAUGAUGACCAGGAGAAUGGACAGAGAUACUCAUAUUGGCAACUAAAUGCCAACUUAACUGAAAGGCUGGAAGAGAUUGGGGUAACAGCUUCCACGCCAGCGUGUCAGCUGAUCACAGACGUAGACUCUUUUUUGACGGUCUUCAAAAAGAUUGAUGCCAUCGUGGACGAGGAGACCAUCAGGUUUAAUGAUGGACUUGUGAGAAAUAACAUCAACUACAAAGAAUCUGUCAAGUCUAUUGCCCACGUGCUACAACUGCAGUGUAACACCAACUGGCUGCCACCGUGCCCAAUCAUCCAUAACCUAUUUACCAGGUCCUUCUUCACCAUACUCCAGGACAUGUCAUUCCCUCUCUGUGUCACCCACCACACAGAAAAUCCUCUCAACUAUGGGACAGUCAGUACCUGGAUGUCCAACCAUUUCCAGAACCUAUGGAGCAACUUCAAGUCUAUCUGGUUUGACAAGGGGCUGCUCACUUGCAGUGACAUGCGAGUAGUCCACACUGAAACCAGCUCUGAUAUGGAAAACCUGGCUGCAGACCUCCCCAAGCAAAGAUGCGCCAUUAGAUUGUCCAGAGCCCAGAUCUUUGCGCCCAAGGCCCUGAAGAUAAAAAACAGGAUCAUCUUUUCCAACUCUUCCAGCACAGAAUCCCUGUCUGCCAGCUUCGUGAAAGCUGGGAAGGCAGAGAACCCCAUCACUGCCGGUCCCUACAUGCACUUCCUAACACAGCUCCAUAAACAGCUGUUCCCCACAACCAAAACUGGGGCCUAUUACAUCUGGCAAACCUUCAUGUCCAGCAAAAAACUUCCACAGGCAGGUUCCACCAAUGCUAAAAAACUCUCAGAGUUUAUUUCCUAUCUCAUGACCAGCAGUCUAGCACACGAUGAGGUCAAUGUGCUAGACUACGUACCAACCACCCUCAUGGCCUACGCGAAGCAGCGACUCAACAAUGCCAUCUUGCGGCUAUGUGGGCAAACGCAGUUCUAUGCCACCACCAUAAACUUUCUACAACCCACAAUCCUUUCCAUGCCCAGCCUGGACUAUCCGCAUGUGGCUGGUCCCGUUCCUGUGCAAGAUUUGACAACAUACAUGGACAUGACUCGGGACCAGUCUGCCACAGUGAUCCAGAGCUCAUGCAGAGAAGAUCCAGCCGCGGUGUGUAAGAUGCGCCCCAUCGUGACAAUACCCAUGAUGGUUAACAAAUAUUCAGGCUCUAAUGGGAAUAAUUCUAUUUUUCAAAGUGGUAACAUGGGUUAUUUCAUGGGCAGGGGGGUUGAUAGAAAGUUGUUGCCAGAUAUCCCUAGGAUGAGAAAGCAUGUCAACACCUCUAUGAGGAGAAGAUAUGCCUUUGCUUCCCCCAUGACAGAGAGUCUCUUGACCCAGCCAGGUAAGGGUACUGUCCGCACCUAUCAGCUGGAAAAAACUAGAAAGAUUAUUCACGAUAUCAUAGCAUCUGGGAAUGCUGAGCCUGAGAACCUGGUUUUAGAGUUGGUAAAAUGUUUAGGGCACGAAUGUGCAACACUAACUUCAGAUGAUGUGGAAUUCUAUCUGGGAGAGUUUUCAUUUAUGGUGAAUGAUGUCAUGGAGGUUCUCGAAACCUUGAAGGCUUCGGGGUGUGCCUUCAGUGAGGAGAGCGUACAGGCUUUGCUUCCAACUUCAAGUCCAGGUACAUCAGAGUCAUUUGUAGAAGUGACAGACAAUAUUAUAACUAGUCUUCCAGAAAUUUCUGUUACUCAGUUCACUGCUGCUCCCCCAAAACGCAGACGCAUUGCUACUUUUGAGGAUAUAGAUUUAUAAUGUCUAAGGAAGUGGCUGUACUCUAUGCUCAAAUUUAUGGAUUAUGCAUGGACCUCAGCCUGGUACCAUACAUGGACCCUAGCAGCCUAAAUCUUAGAUCCAUCUCCAAUAAUUAUCACAAGCUCUGUCAGAUUCAAAAAAUAAUUGGUGGCCAACUUCUAGAAAAUAAUACCCAAACACCUUGCGCUCUCACGCUGGAACUUGAACACUUGCUCUGUAAUGCUGUAGAAUUGUGUAAAAGUGUACUCUCACAUGAAAAUACCUAUGAUCAUGUACUCUGUAGCAAACAGUGUGUUUUGGAUGUUAGUUGCCUUGCCUGCUUCUAUGGUGGAGAUACUGUGGAUAUACCAUUGGACACCAUCAAUAAAAUUGACAUGUUAUUCAAAAA